ACACUGACGUCGCGACGCAUAUCAAUAAGCGGAGGAAAAGAAACUAACAAGGAUUCCCUUAGUAACGGCGAGUGAAGCGGGAAGAGCUCAAAUUUGAAAUCUUCAAGGUUCUACCUUGACGAAUUGUAGUUUAAAGAAGUGUUUUCUGUUAGAUGAGUAGCAAAAGUUCCUUGGAAUGGGACAUCAUAGAGGGUGAGAAUCCCGUAUUUGGUUAUUCAUUCUAGCUUUGUGAUACACUUUCAAAGAGUCGGAUUGUUUGGGAAUGCAGUCCAAAAUGGGUGGUAAAUUUCAUCUAAAGCUAAAUAUUGGCGAGAGACCGAUAGCGAACAAGUACCGUGAGGGAAAGAUGAAAAGAACUUUGAAAAGAGAGUUAAACAGUACGUGGAAAUUGUCAAAAGGGAAGCGUUUGACACCAGUGUUGUUUUCUCGAAAAUCAAUUACAAAUGGACUUGGAUUUUGUGUUGUAUUGACCUUAUCAGCUUUCUGCACUUUUUUCUAGUCUUUCUUAAUGCACUUUUCGUUUAACAAGUCAACAUCAAUUUCUUUUGUUGUAAAAGAGUAUUCGGAAGGUGGCUUUCUUUUCGGAGAAAGUGUUUAUAGCCCUAUACUUCUACAAUCGGAGAGAUUGAGGUCUGCAGCGUAGAUCCUUCGGGGUUAGAUACACUUGUGCUAAGUUGUAGCUUUUCAUAGACAACUUGUUGACUAUGUUUAGUCAUGCGGCUUACUCGCUUAUGCUAUUUUACCUACGCUUAGGAUGUUGAGUCGUAGAGCACGCAG
This 777-nucleotide ribosomal RNA is filed under the name uncultured Neocallimastigales. RNAcentral's name for it is "partial large subunit ribosomal RNA". It matches the Rfam family "Eukaryotic large subunit ribosomal RNA", at positions 25 to 632 of the family's 3401-position model. The record is from RNAcentral. Lineage: Eukaryota; Fungi; Neocallimastigomycota; Neocallimastigomycetes; Neocallimastigales.